GCUGAGUGCAGUGGUGCAUGCCUAUAGUCCUAGCUACUCAGGAGGCUGAAGCAAGAGGAUCGCUUGAGUCCAGGAGUUCUGGGUGUCCACUUUAAGUUGGGCAUCAAUAUGGUAACCUCCCAGGAGCAGGGGACCACCAGGUUACCUAAGGAUGGGUGAACCGGCCCAGGUCGGAAAUGGAGCAGGUCAAAACUCCUGUGCUGAUCGGUAGUGGGAUGGUGCCUGUGAAUAGCCACUGCAUUCCAGCCUGGGCAACACAGUGAGACCA
RNAcentral lists this signal recognition particle RNA (268 nucleotides) under Castor canadensis (American beaver). RNAcentral describes it as "Metazoan signal recognition particle RNA (ENSCCNG00000030073.1)". It matches the Rfam family "Metazoan signal recognition particle RNA". Rfam says of the family: The signal recognition particle (SRP) is a universally conserved ribonucleoprotein. It is involved in the co-translational targeting of proteins to membranes. Lineage: Eukaryota; Metazoa; Chordata; Mammalia; Rodentia; Castoridae. The record is from RNAcentral.